Molecule: ribosomal RNA, 473 nt
Filed under: uncultured bacterium
Lineage: Bacteria
Description: bacterial SSU rRNA
Rfam family: Bacterial small subunit ribosomal RNA
Source: RNAcentral
GACGAACGCUGGCGGCGUGCUUAACACAUGCAAGUCGAACGGACGAGUGAGAUAAGUUUACUUAACUCACAAGUUAGUGGCGGACGGGUGAGUAACACGUGGAUAAUCUACCUGCAACACCGGGAUAACGCUGUGAAAACGGUGCUAAUACCGGAUACGUUCCCUUGUGCGCAUGUAUGAGGGAAGAAAGCUCAGGCGGUUGCAGAUGAGUCCGCGGCUGAUUAGCUAGUUGGUGAGGUAAAGGCUCACCAAGGCGAUGAUCAGUAGCCGGCCUGAGAGGGUGAACGGCCACACUGGGACUGAGACACGGCCCAGACUCCUACGGGAGGCAGCAGUGGGGAAUCUUCCGCAAUGGGCGCAAGCCUGACGGAGCAACGCCGCGUGGGUGAAGAAGGCCUUCGGGUUGUAAAGCCCUGUCUUAUGGGAAGAAGUCAGUGGCGGUACCAUAGGAGGAAGCCACGGCUAACUACGUG